Oncorhynchus keta (chum salmon) is the source of this 151-nucleotide long non-coding RNA. RefSeq lists it as uncharacterized. NCBI's taxonomy places the organism in Eukaryota, Metazoa, Chordata, Actinopteri, Salmoniformes, Salmonidae. The record is from RefSeq and is a predicted model, not a curated record. The transcript is spliced from 3 exons.
CUGAGGUCUGUUACUACACUACGUAACCCUGGCUAACACUGAGGUCUGCUACUACACUACGUAACCCUGGCUAACACUGAGGUCUGCUACUACACUACGUAACCCUGACUAACACUGAGGUCUGUUACUACACUACGUAACCCUGACUAAC